Sparus aurata (gilthead seabream) is the source of this 3123-nucleotide long non-coding RNA. The record is from Ensembl. NCBI's taxonomy places the organism in Eukaryota, Metazoa, Chordata, Actinopteri, Spariformes, Sparidae.
AUUGAAUCGUGGGGUCUCCGGGGUCGUAACACCUCCUCGUCACUUAUCCAGCUGUCGCUUUCUUCACAUCGCGGUUCCUGAGAGUCAUGAGGCUCACUGGUUGUUUUUAUUUUACCCUUUUUCUUCUUCGACAGUUUGCCUCCCAUGUUGAUUAAGCGCGUUUGCAAUCAGAUGAAACACCGACUGGCGACUGCUCCGCUAAUUACAAUGAGGCGUUCAGGUGUUCCGCGAAGUCAUGUGAUUUGAAGUUGCCAGAGGACUGCUGACGUGAUUUUCUUUUCUUUUCUUUUUUUUAUUCUCUCACAUAAUCUGGCUCGUAGAAUGAUGACUUGUCGCCUACCAGAAAACGUCCGAGCAGCGCUGCACGGUCCUCGCAGUGGUCUCACUGACCACCCGGACAAAAUGGGAAUCCAGCUGAAAGUCCACGGACCCAAAGGAGAGGAGAAGAUCGUCGACCUGUGCGACAGUGACCGGGAGCUGAGGAAGAUCACGGUGACACAGCUGAUGGAUAAACUGUCUCAUGAACCGAAUAUGACUGAAGAGAUACGGAUAAGAAGUUACCCGGAGGCAUCUGCUGGGGACCAGAGGCAGUAGGAAAAACACCCACGGAGCCUAAACACGCCGCAGUUACACCAAUAAUGAUUAUAAACAACUAAAUUAUAAAUAUUUAAUGCUAUACUGUGAUAACAAAUAAAAUGCACUGAACGUACAGAUGUCAUCUUGUUUUGUUAAUAAGUGGUGAUUGCCUGUCAAAACCGUUCUCAGAGGAAAAUAAAAGCCCCAGAACACUGUUUGAAGCUAGAAAGGUGGCAGGGUCCGCCACACACAAAAUAUAACUUGAAAGCAGGCUCCACUAAGCUAGGCAGCAGUGGAAGUAACUAAUACAGCGUCUCAAAUUUCUUGCAAUCUUACUAAAUUAGCACUUAAUCUACUUAAUCACUUUUGAAAUCAUACUUGAAGAUUUGGAGUAACAAAACCACUUUGAUUGAAUGCCCACUAUUGAUAAUGUAUUAAACAUCAAUGUUUAGUGAGUAACUGAUAUUCUAGGUAACAUUCAAGAAGAACACUUCGCACUUUCACAAAAGUUUUUUUUUUCAAUUUCAGUAGUUUUACUUGUAAUGUAAUAACACUUCUGUAAUUUAACGUUAUUUGUACAUCAAAUAUUUUCAGCACUCAUUCCAUUACUGCCAAUCCCCCUAUUUUAUCAAGGUCGGUAUGCCCUUGCUUUAGAAAUAUAAGGGUCUAACAUGAAAAGGUUGUCAUAUAAUCACACUGCUAGAUAGUUAUUUACCACAUGUUAAAUUGCAGCAAAUUGCAUUUACGGUUAAUAACUGUCAGAUGUAAUAAACUGUGUAAGUUACUUUAUUUUAUGCAAGAUGUCAUAUUUCAAAAGUUUCUACUUUGAGACUGAGAACCAGCAAGCAGUGAAGGUAAUGUAGGACGGACUGUGAGUUUUAUUGUUUAAUGGGAGGGCGACUCUACACUGUGUGCUCGACUCUAGCACUACUGGACUCGCAUUGGGUGUCGAGUGCUGCUCCUGUGCAAGUAGUGCCAGACAAAGUUCUCUGAAAAAUUCAACGGGGAAAACUUAACAGGGUAGGCUAACAUCAAAUGUGCUUUUCUUCUUUCUCAAAAUUAGAAGUAACUUUGUCUAGUCCUUACAUUUUGAAUGUUGAAUGCUAUCUUGCAGCAGUGAUCGUAAACAUAAAACGGGUCUAACUCCAUAUCUUAUUUGGCAAAGCUAUGAGUGAGAUCAAGACACUGAGAGGAAGCCACAUCCUCCAUUAAACCUGACUGAUUUCAUUGAAGAAGUCUGUGAGUAUUAGCAGAUUGUUCUCUUUAUUUCUGUCCAACUAAAGUACCGUCAGUCCUGCGGUAUUAAAGGCAUUAAAUUGAUUUUGAAUCUGUGUAGAUAUUUCCAAUGUUGUCUUAUUGUCAGUAAUCGAUCUGAACUGUCAUUCGCCACUUGGGUAAAAAUAGGUGAAAUUCUAUACCAAGUGUAGCAAAGCAGAAUGACUAUACGGUUGUUGUGCUUAUCAACCUGUGUUUCCUCUUCAAUAAUCUACCGAACCGUCGCACAAAUGUCUAUUUUAAGGAGUACACAAUGCAACACCUCAAGCAUAAUGAGGCCAAAUGUUGUUGUUGUUGUUAUUGUUGAUAGUAACCAACAGUGUAGUAAAAAGAACAAUCAUACUUAAGUUGACAAUAAGAUAGGUCUAUUGUAAAAUAUUAGGCUAGUUUGGUAAAAGUGAGUCUCCCACACCAAUAGUAGCCUACUUAAAUAAAAGUCCUAAAGUAUCGGAAAUAUAUUGUGGCAGCCUGGCAAAGCAUGUUCUUGAAGUAAAUUAUACAUACAUUAAGGUUAUAUGAAUGUAUAUGGCCUACUUCAUAGUGGGAGUCGAGCAAUUGUCUACCUCGAAGACUACAGUAAGUGUUUAAUCAUUUGCCAAGAUCAUAUUGUUGGUUGUGAAUUUUUUCAAAUAUCUAAACGUUUCCUCUGGUGUCACGUUGAUCUGAAGCUGAGGAGUCAGCCUAAACUAGUGAACGUGUGGCGCCACCUCUUGGACUUCAGACCACAUAACAGAAGGUUUUAAGUUUGGUUGUGUCAUUCAGUAUGGACAUUUGAUCAUUUCAGUGCAAGUAUUAGUGUAAUGUCUUGCAGUCCCUGCAAAGAAAAGAAAACAUAAGCUGUUUAUGCACACAGAUUUCACAGUGAUGGAUGAUGUGUAGGAAUUAGGUUGAUGUGUAGGAAUUAGGUAUUCAGCCAGGCUGUAGUAGAUAAGGGUGCAUAAAACGUUUACUGUUUAAGAGUGUCAGAAACACAAAUCAUGACUUAAAAACCUGCAAAAUACUUAAACUGGAAGAACAGAAAAUUUUACAAGAUUGAAAUGGAAUUACAUUAUUAUGCCUAAUGAAAAAAGAUAACACAACAUUAUAUCUUCAGGGGGAGGGUCGAGAGGAAAGAUGAGCAACUCCAGGAAACGACUCCAUGAAGAAGUGGAAUCUUCAUCAGAGCGGUGGAAACAAAAAGGUAAUACAGAGUUUAGGUGAGGUAAAGAUUAUUGUAGGCUGUUUAGUAGAUAGAAAACACAAUUAAAAGUAAAAGAAGAUGGACGAUGUAUG